This 433-nucleotide ribosomal RNA is filed under the name uncultured bacterium. RNAcentral's name for it is "partial 16S ribosomal RNA". It matches the Rfam family "Bacterial small subunit ribosomal RNA", at positions 28 to 507 of the family's 1533-position model. The record is from RNAcentral.
GACGAACGCUGGCGGCAUGCCUAACACAUGCAAGUCGAACGGGAACUUCCGGCUUGGUGGCGCACGGGUGCGUAACGCGUGGGAACCUGCGCUUAGGUUCGGAAUAACUCUCCGAAAGGGGUGCUAAUAACGGAUACUGUCUCCGGACCAAAGCUUUAUCGCCUUUGGAUGGGGCCGCGUUGUUUCAGCUAGUUGGUAGGGCAUAAGCUAACCAAGGCGUCGAUCCAUAGUUGGUCUGCGAGGAUGCUCAGCCACACUGGGACUCGGCCACGGCCCCGACUCCUGCGAGAGGCAGCGGUGGUGGAUAUAGGACAGUGAGCGAGAGCCUGCUCCGGCGCUGCCGCGUGGAUGGUGAAGGCGUUAGAAUUGUCAUGCGCUUUUGCCCGGGAUGUUAGUGACGGUACCGGGAGAAUAAGCUCCGGCUAACUCCGUG